GAUGAACGCUGGCGGCGUGCCUAAUACAUGCAAGUCGAGCGAACAGACGAGGAGCUUGCUCCUCUGACGUUAGCGGCGGACGGGUGAGUAACACGUGGGUAACCUACCUAUAAGACUGGGAUAACUUCGGGAAACCGGAGCUAAUACCGGAUAAUAUAUUGAACCGCAUGGUUCAUUAGUGAAAGACGGUUUUGCUGUCACUUAUAGAUGGAUCCGCGCCGCAUUAGCUAGUUGGUAAGGUAACGGCUUACCAAGGCAACGAUGCGUAGCCGACCUGAGAGGGUGAUCGGCCACACUGGAACUGAGACACGGUCCAGACUCCUACGGGAGGCAGCAGUAGGGAAUCUUCCGCAAUGGGCGAAAGCUUGACGGAGCAACGCCGCGUGAGUGAUGAAGGUCUUCGGAUCGUAAAACUCUGUUAUUAGGGAAGAACAAAUGUGUAAGUAACUAUGCACGUCUUGACGGUACCUAAUCAGAAAGCCACGGCUAACUACGUG
This 497-nucleotide ribosomal RNA is filed under the name uncultured bacterium. RNAcentral describes it as "partial 16S ribosomal RNA". It matches the Rfam family "Bacterial small subunit ribosomal RNA", at positions 28 to 507 of the family's 1533-position model. The record is from RNAcentral.